Molecule: unclassified non-coding RNA, 471 nt
Filed under: Hevea brasiliensis (rubber tree)
Lineage: Eukaryota; Viridiplantae; Streptophyta; Magnoliopsida; Malpighiales; Euphorbiaceae
Source: RNAcentral
GCUUUCCAGAGUUUGACUCUGAGCCAUAUGUUUUUGGUCCUACCAUUACAAAGAGACUUCUUUGUGGGCGUUUUGAGCUUGACAAAAGACUUCUGGAUUAUGUUAAUGGAAAAUAGGUCAAACACGAAAGGUAUUCACGAUCUCCUAUUUGUUCGUCCAACCCCAAUCGAAGGAGAUGUUAUUCGUUCUCACACGGUUUCUGAAGAUACUAAUCACUCUUGUUCUUCCCACGAACUUCCUGCCAAAACUACAGGUAAACAUGUUAAAAGGUGCUAGAUCAGACAUGAAAUUUGUGAGGAAAUUGUUUUUUUUUUCAUUUCCUUUUCUUACAUUAGGAGAACACGCAGUUUGUUCAUAACUUUGUAUUGAGUCACCACGAUAUGUUGGAGUUCCACUUAUAAAAAAGGUCGAAUUCUAAGAUACUGUAAUGAAAUUUCACUUUUUAAAGUUUAAAGUUCAAUACAUUAUGCU